AUAUUAAUAUAUUUAGUUUAUAAAAUAUAUUUAUUAUAAAUAUAUAUUUUAUUUAUAUUUAAUUUAUAAUUAAAAUA
RNAcentral lists this transfer RNA (77 nucleotides) under Dolichogenidea sp. n. SNS-2016. RNAcentral's name for it is "tRNA-Met". Lineage: Eukaryota; Metazoa; Arthropoda; Insecta; Hymenoptera; Braconidae. The record is from RNAcentral.